This is a long non-coding RNA of Peromyscus eremicus (cactus mouse), 1288 nucleotides long. RefSeq lists it as uncharacterized. The transcript has 3 exons. The record is from RefSeq and is a predicted model, not a curated record. Lineage: Eukaryota; Metazoa; Chordata; Mammalia; Rodentia; Cricetidae.
GUUCUUUUUCAUUGUUCUACUCACUCAAAUUACAAUCAAGAUGGAUUUCAUUGCAGUCCUUGACUUGGCUUCCUACUGCCCUGUAGGAAGAAGAAAACUCCAUUGUGGAAUCUUAUGCAAAUGUUCUUACUUCUGGUACCUAUAGAUAUCAUUUCAGCAUAUAUGAUGGCCUAAGCCCUGGGAGACGCUGCUCCAGUCAACAAAACCCUCAGAUAACCUGAUGUGUGCUCACCGGUGACAGCAUGAUGGUGAGAUGUGUCAAAGAUCAGCUUUCUAGGAGGUCAGAUGAUUGUGCCAACCAACAGCUGUGGUACCCUUUUGGCUUCCAAGCAUUAAGACUGAAGUAAAAUUCCACAGUGUUCUUGCUUCUGUACUUAUAACAUAAAAUCCAAAGCAGCCGACUCUCACAGAGCUGUAACUGAACAGAGAUAAAACAAGGCUCUCGCCUCCACUUCCAGAUCCCGUUUGAAGUCAUAUCGCCAGUGAGUCAUGUUUCUUUUUUAUUACAUAUUCUCUUGCUGAGAUUGAGAAGUGCAGGAAAGAAAUAUGUCAGAAACAAUUCACAACGGAUCACUGUUAAAUUGAUCUUGCCAAGGGACUUCCCCGGCACCCAGGUCUCAUUCCCUUGGCAAUGCUUAUCAGCACAUCCAUUAACUGUAUAGUAGUAAGAAUAUAAAACCAGAUACAUAUGACACCAAAGCCACAUGAGAAUACAGCAAGAAGACAUCUGUCUAUAUGCCAGGAAGAGAAGCUGCUCCAGAACACACUCUGUCUGGCACCUUGAUCUUGAACUUCUGGCCUCUAGAACUAAAUAGAUAACCUGUAGGUGAGAAGCCAUCUUAAGGAAAGGCUCCAUCCUACUCUCAAGGUUAUUGAAAUUCUACAGUCACAUUCAUCAGGCACUUUGGACUGAGGAGAUGUUAGACUCUUUGGAUGCAAUGAAUUUAUUCUUCUAGAGUGCACUUGCAGUCUAGCAGGUGAAUAUCUAUGGAGAUAACACAGCGCUGUCCUCUGAACAUAUUACCAUUCUUCCUCCUUUAUUCUCACUUCUCUCACCCAUUGGAGAUGUUUCCAAGUUCUGGACUUUCCUAGUCUCCUUGCUCUAUCUCUUACAUUGUCUUAACUACAGAAAUGACAACUGAGUACCCAUACACGACUGCAGUAGUUUGGAAGAUCUGAAAUUCAGAUGGCUUACUUCCUCAACAAAUUGAAUAUUUAUAAUAUCCACAUGAUACUGUUUGGAGACAUAAAGAAAUAAGUUAGUGACACUUGCCUUUCUAGAGGAAAU